ACCCUAGGCAGGCACUGCUCCGUGAUCCAGGAACCACCUCUCUCUACAGCUGGGAGUGAGCAGUCAGAGAGGGAGACAGCCUUGCCCGGUGCUACCCAGCAAGCUAGUCACCGAGUGGGCAGAGGGAGGAGCGGCCCUCACCGGAUGUCAAGCAGCCUGGGUCCCCAGUCCAGCUCUGCCUGUCCCUCGCAAUAACGCCUCAGAUGGGGAAACUGAAGCCCAAUGUCACGGAGGUAGGAAGGGGCAGACGUAGACUUGGAAGGAUUCUGUGGCCUGUUCGAGGUUCCGUGCAUGAGCCGUGCUCCGUGGAGAGCCAGGUCUACCGUUCCAGCCUUUGCUCUCCCAGGCCCCUGGCUGUCCAUGUCCCACACCACCCUGACACCUGAUACUUGACACCCGUGUCACCAACAGCUACAGUGCACCACGGCCUUGGAACACCGCACUCAGUGCUCUGCCUGGAUGAGCCCUGUACCCCCAUGACGACCCCACUGUGGACAUUCUUAUGUCCAUUUUACAGAUGACGAAACUGAGACGGGCGGAUGCAGUGUUGUGCACAAGCCACACAGCUGGAAACGUGGGCUGGGGACUGGAACCCAAUUACCCGCUUUGGCUCUAUAAUCCUCUUUUUAUUUUUAUUUAAUUUUUUUAUGAGAUGGAGUGUAGCUCUGUCGCACAGGCUGGAGUGCAGUGACACGAUCUCAGCUCACUGUAACCUCUGCCUCUCGGGUUCAACCCAUUCUUGUGUCUCAGCCUCCCAAGAAGCUGGGAUUACAGUUGUGUGUCACCACGCCUGGCUAAUUUUUUGUAUUUUUAGUAGAGAUGGGGUUUCCCCAUGUUGGUCAGGCUGGUCUCGGACUCCUGACCUCAGGUGAUCUGCCCACCUCUACCUCCCAAAGUGCUGGGAUUACAGGCAUGAGCCACCGUGCCCGGCCCUUUAAUCCUCUUUUUAAAACACCUUAGGAUAUGAUAUAUCCAGAAUAGGCAAAUCCAUAGACACAGAAUGCAGAUCCGUGUGCCAGUGGCUAGGGGGUGAAGAGGAACUGCUGAAUGAGCGGGCGUUUCCUCCUGGGGUGACCAGCAUGUUCUGCGACUGCAGAUGAUGGCUGUGCCACCUUGUGAGGGUACUAAAUGCCGCCGAAUGGUACACCUUAAACUGGUUGAUUUUAUGUUAUAUGAACUUCCCUUCCAUACAUUAUUUGAGGCUGGGCACGGUGGCUCACACCUGUUAUCCCAACACUUUUGGAGGCCGAGAUGGGUGGAUCAUCUGAGGUCAGGAGUUUGAGACCAGCCUGACCAAAAUGGUGAAACCCCGUCUCUACUAAAAAUACAAAAAAAUUAGCUGGGUGUGGUGGCGCAUGCCUGUAAUCCCAGCUACUCAGGAGGCUGAGGCAGGAUAAUCGCUUGAAUCCGGGAGGCAGAGAUUGCAGUGGGCCUAGAUCGUGCCAUUGUACUCCUGCCUAGGUGACAGAGCAAGACUCCGCCUCAAAAAUAAAAAAUAAAAAAUAAAUUAUUUGGAAAAAAAA
Molecule: long non-coding RNA, 1523 nt
Filed under: Homo sapiens (human)
Lineage: Eukaryota; Metazoa; Chordata; Mammalia; Primates; Hominidae
Description: non-protein coding LINC01978:19
Source: RNAcentral